AGCUCGCUACCAUAAAUAAGCUACUUUGAGCUCCGUUCAACGUCCGACUUUCCGUGGUGAUCUCUCUCUCUAGCAGACCAGCCACGAUGCAGAGGUUAUUGCCCGCGAGGUCUCUAUCUGCAGCCGCUGCUUUCUUCAGAAAUGGCAGACACCGUGCUAGUUAUUCGACUUCUCUUCUCUUCGAUGAUACUCAGAAACAAUUUAAAGAAAGCGUUGCGCAGUUUGCACAGGAAAACAUUGCCCCUCAUGCAUCAAAAAUAGACACAACGAAUUAUUUUCCAGAGGAAGUCAACUUGUGGAAACUCAUGGGAGAUUUUAAUCUUCAUGGAAUCACUGCACCAGAGGAAUAUGGAGGACUUGGCCUUGGUUAUUUAUAUCAUUGCAUAGCAAUGGAAGAAAUUAGUCGUGCUUCAGGGUCUGUUGGCCUUUCAUAUGGUGCCCAUUCUAACCUAUGCAUUAACCAGUUGGUGAGGAAUGGAAGCCCUGCUCAAAAACAGAAGUACUUGCCAAAGCUUAUCAGUGGGGAGCAUGUAGGAGCUCUUGCAAUGAGUGAACCCAAUGCUGGCUCUGAUGUUGUCAGUAUGAAAUGCAAAGCUGAUCAUGUUGAUGGAGGUUACAUUAUAAAUGGGAACAAAAUGUGGUGCACAAAUGGCACAAUUGCCCAGACUUUGGUUGUUUAUGCAAAAACAGAUGUCAAAGCUAAUUCAAAGGGGAUCACAGCAUUUAUCAUUGAGAAGGGAAUGCCUGGAUUCGAUACUGCCCAGAAAUUAGACAAACUCGGGAUGCGAGGAAGUGAUACAUGUGAGCUUGUUUUUGAAAAUUGCUUUGUUCCUGGAGAAAAUGUUCUUGGACAGGAAGGAAAAGGAGUUCAUGUCAUGAUGUCAGGGCUAGAUUUGGAGAGGCUUGUUUUGGCGGCUGGGCCCCUUGGUCUCAUGCAGGCAUGCCUUGAUGUUGUUCUUCCUUAUGUUCAACAGCGAGAGCAGUUUGGCCGUCCGAUUGGGGAAUUUCAGUUUAUACAGGGGAAAGUUGCUGACAUGUAUACUUAUUUACAAUCCUCAAGAUCAUAUGUAUACUCUGUUGCAAGGGCAUGCGAUGAUGGAAAGAUUAGCCCAAAGGAUUGUGCUGCAGUUAUACUUUCUGCUUCUGAAAGAGCCACCCAAGUUGCUCUUCAGUCUGUACAAUGCUUAGGUGGAAAUGGAUAUGUGAAUGAGUAUCCAACUGGUCGCCUUCUUCGAGAUGCAAAGCUAUAUGAGAUUGGGGCGGGGACAAGUGAGAUCAGAAGAAUGAUUAUUGCUCGUGAACUCUUUAAGGAACAGUGAGAGAUUGCACAUUUUAUUUAUUUGCUACGCUCAAGCAUCUUUGCCCCUUCCUGUUGUUGCUUUGACCUGUCAUGCUGCAGGGUGACUUUACUGAUCUAGGGACAAGGGACUAGGUCUUCUUUCGCCACACAGAUGAUCUUUAGUCUAAUAAUUUGAAAAGUGAAUUUUUUGUUCCAACGUGGGGAAGAACAAGAGGAUAGCCCAGUGCAAAGGUCCCAAGGUUCCCAUCAAUGUGGGAUCUGUGUCCGAACACAGCCCUCAACUCCUGCAUGCAGAAAGGCUGUUCUGGCUGAAUAAAGAACAAUUGUGGUCUAUUUAGAAUGCAGGAAAAGGGUAAGCUCGUAGAGGGGAAGGAAGGGGGAAAUGGGGAGAUCCAUGUGGUUAUGGUGCCCUUGUGACCAUGGGAUCAAUACUUUGACUCGAACCCUUAAAACUUGUACUAAGGAGCCAUCUGAUAAAAUUAAAGGACCAAGUAUUACGUGAAUAUUAAAUACAACUCUAAAUCUCAAUCAAAUUUUGAAUUUGAAUGUUAAA
Molecule: RNA transcript, 1853 nt
Organism: Malania oleifera
Lineage: Eukaryota; Viridiplantae; Streptophyta; Magnoliopsida; Santalales; Ximeniaceae
Gene name: isovaleryl-CoA dehydrogenase, mitochondrial
Exons: 16
Source: RefSeq, a predicted model, not a curated record